CCUACGGGAGGCAGCAGUGAGGAAUAUUGGUCAAUGGUCGGGAGACUGAACCAGCCAAGCCGCGUGAGGGAGGAAGGUACAGAGUAUCGUAAACCUCUUUUGUCAGGGAACAAAGACUGGGACGCGUCCCAGGAUGAGUGUACCUGAAGAAAAAGCAUCGGCUACCUCCGUGCCAGCAGCCGCGGUAAUACGGAGGAUGCGAGCUUUAUCCGGAUUUAUUGGGUUUAAAGGGGGCGCAGGCGGUCUGUUAAGUCAGCGGCAAAAGCCCGGGGCGCAACCCCGGCCCGCCGUUGAAACUGGCAGUCUCGAGUUGGAGAGAAGUAUGCGGAAUGCGCGGUGUAGCGGUGAAAUGCAUAGAUAUCGCGCAGAACUCCGAUUGCGAAGGCAGCAUGCCGGCUCCACACUGACGCUGAGGCACGAAAGCGUGGGUAUCGAACAGGAUUAGAUACCCUGGUAGUC
This 459-nucleotide ribosomal RNA is filed under the name uncultured bacterium. RNAcentral describes it as "partial 16S ribosomal RNA". It matches the Rfam family "Bacterial small subunit ribosomal RNA", at positions 338 to 795 of the family's 1533-position model. The record is from RNAcentral.